UGGGGAAUAUUGGACAAUGGGGGGAACCCUGAUCCAGCCAUGCCGCGUGUGUGAAGAAGGCCUUAUGGUUGUAAAGCACUUUAAGCGAGGAGGAGGGUACUGGUAUUAAUACUACCAGCUACUGGACGUUACUCGCAGAAUAAGCACCGGCUAACUCUGUGCCAGCAGCCGCGGUAAUACAGAGGGUGCGAGCGUUAAUCGGAUUUACUGGGCGUAAAGCGUGCGUAGGCGGCUAAUUGAGUCGGAUGUGAAAUCCCCGAGCUUAACUUGGGAAUUGCAUUCGAUACUGGUUAGCUAGAGUGUGGGAGAGGGUGGUAGAAUUCCAGGUGUAGCGGUGAAAUGCGUAGAGAUAUGGAGGAAUACCGAUGGCGAAGGCAGCCAUCUGGCCUAACACUGACGCUGAGGUACGAAAGCAUGGGGAGCAAACAGG
Molecule: ribosomal RNA, 430 nt
Filed under: Pseudomonadota bacterium
Lineage: Bacteria; Pseudomonadati; Pseudomonadota
Description: Proteobacteria bacterium partial 16S ribosomal RNA
Rfam family: Bacterial small subunit ribosomal RNA
Source: RNAcentral